AGCAAUUUUCUGUUUUGUUAGUCUACCGGGCCCGUGUCGGUUUUUGAUGACGUCAGAGUUAUGGCUGCUCUCACGGUACCGUGCAGGGCUUGUGCGUUUCUCCGCUAAAGAAAAUUUAGAAAAUCGUCAAAGAUAUCGUUUAGAUAUCGCCACUGAGGGAGACAGACCGGGUAAACUCCCAACACCGAGACCGUGUCUCCAAGACGCUGUGGUUUGAAAGUGCGGGCCGCGUUCGGGCCUGCUGCUGCGGGCUAGCCAGCUAAGCUACUUCACCGCCAGAGAAACGACAGACGGCUCCUCAUUGGCAAAUAAGCUAGCUAAGCUAGCCAGCUAGUCGGCUAGCUUGAAAAUUGACGUUUUGGUCGUCCAUCUCAUGUCACUUGCCAUAAAACCUAGCAGGUAACCUCAUUCCAAAUGAUUGCUACACAAUUAUCUCUGUCUUGCAAAAAUAUGCAUUAUGUGAAGUUGGGCGUUUCUGGAUGCGGAUAGCUCAUUAGCUGGCUUGUUCGCUAACAAGCUAACGGUAACAUAUCAGGGUCAUUCAUAACUUCACUUAGGGUUGUUUUUUUUUUUGUUUGUUUUUUAAAAUGUAUUUAAAACCACAUCAUGCUUAAGCAUAUAGUGUUUAUAUCUGUAUUUGCAGUAACAUUACUGUUUUGUCUUGACACGCAAAUAUUUAAUGUAAACACUGUCCUCUCUUAAAAAUGGUAGGUUAUAUGAUUUUUCUGUUCUCUCAUUUGUUAAAACGCAUUUGGAAUUCAAUAACUUAUUUGUAAUAGCCCAUGUUUAUUCAAACACUUGGAUUGAUUUAUUUUCUUAAGAUGCUUUUGUGGCAGCCCUUAAACCCACGACUCACUAAAUCUAGCUACACGAGUAUUAGCUUAAAAAAGGCUCCACCCUGAAACACGUUUCUGUGUAAAGUAUUUAUGAUUCUUGUGUUAAUUUGUUGGUUGGUGAAGUAUUUUUGUAAUUCCUGUUAGAACUUAGCAGGUGUGUGCUGCUCUGAAGACAGGGAGACAGUGAUAGAGCAGUGUUGUUUAAUGGGAGAAAAUAUUUCAACAAUCUUAAAC
Molecule: long non-coding RNA, 1070 nt
Organism: Ictalurus punctatus (channel catfish)
Lineage: Eukaryota; Metazoa; Chordata; Actinopteri; Siluriformes; Ictaluridae
Source: Ensembl